This 239-nucleotide ribosomal RNA is filed under the name uncultured bacterium. RNAcentral describes it as "partial 16S ribosomal RNA". It matches the Rfam family "Bacterial small subunit ribosomal RNA", at positions 15 to 217 of the family's 1533-position model. The record is from RNAcentral.
GAUCAUGGCUCAGGAUAAACGCUGGCGGCGCACAUAAGACAUGCAAGUCGAACGGAAGUCGUUACGAAAUGGAAUGAAGAUUUAUCUGAUUGAAGUUUUGUAACAAUGGCUUUAGUGGCGGACUGGUAAGUAACACGGUAAGCAAUCUACCUACUAGAGGGGAAUAACAAUGAGAAAUCAUUGCUAAUACCGCAUAAGCUUGUAGUACCGCAUGGUACAGCAAGAAAAGGAGCAAUCCG